This 270-nucleotide ribosomal RNA is filed under the name uncultured bacterium. RNAcentral describes it as "partial 16S ribosomal RNA". It matches the Rfam family "Bacterial small subunit ribosomal RNA", at positions 73 to 339 of the family's 1533-position model. The record is from RNAcentral.
CUUCGGCCAAUGGAAGGGAAGGACAGUGGCGGACUGGUGCGUAACACGUGAGUAACCUGCCCCGAAGAGUGGAAUAACACAGCGAAAGUUGUGCUAAUACCGCAUAACAUGGUUGUACCGCAUGGUGCUGACCAUCAAAGAUUUAUCGCUUCGGGAUGGACUCGCGUCCGAUUAGCUAGUUGGUGAGGUAACGGCUCACCAAGGCGACGAUCGGUAGCCGGACUGAGAGGUUGACCGGCCACAUUGGGACUAAGACACGGCCCAGACUCC